AGUAAAGUGCCUGAAAAAAGGGGUAUCUUGAUAGGGUACAUCAUGUAAUUAAAUACCUUUACUU
RNAcentral lists this transfer RNA (64 nucleotides) under Ellipes minuta. RNAcentral's name for it is "tRNA-Ile". Lineage: Eukaryota; Metazoa; Arthropoda; Insecta; Orthoptera; Tridactylidae. The record is from RNAcentral.